UACGGAGGGUGCAAGCGUUAUUCGGAAUUAUUGGGCGUAAAGGGCGUGUAGGCGGCUUGGUAAGUCAGAUGUGAAAGCCCGGGGCUCAACCCCGGAAGUGCAUUUGAUACUGCUUGGCUUGAGUGCGGGAGAGGAAAGCGGAAUUCCCAGUGUAGAGGUGAAAUUCGUAGAUAUUGGGAGGAACACCGGUGGUGUAGGCGGCUUUCUGGACCGACACUGACGCUGAGACGCGAAAGCGUGGGGAGCAAACAGG
This 253-nucleotide ribosomal RNA is filed under the name uncultured bacterium. RNAcentral's name for it is "partial 16S ribosomal RNA". It matches the Rfam family "Bacterial small subunit ribosomal RNA", at positions 524 to 776 of the family's 1533-position model. The record is from RNAcentral.